This 839-nucleotide ribosomal RNA is filed under the name uncultured bacterium. Its description in RNAcentral is "bacterial SSU rRNA". It matches the Rfam family "Bacterial small subunit ribosomal RNA", at positions 54 to 889 of the family's 1533-position model. The record is from RNAcentral.
CAUGCAAGUCGAACGGUAACAGUCCUUCGGGAGCUGACGAGUGGCGCACGGGUGAGUAACGCGUGGAUAUCUGCCUAUGAGUGGGGGACAACUUUCGGAAACGGAAGCUAAUACCGCAUACACUUUACGGAGUAAAGCAGGGGACCUUCGGGCCUUGUGCUCAUAGAUGAGUCCGCGUCAGAUUAGCUAGUUGGUAGGGUAAAAGCCUACCAAGGCGAUGAUCUGUAACUGGUUUGAGAGGAUGAUCAGUCACACUGGAACUGAGACACGGUCCAGACUUCUACGGAAGGCAGCAGUGGGGAAUUUUGCACAAUGGGCGCAAGCCUGAUGCAGCGAUGCCGCGUGUGGGAAGAAGGCUUUAGGGUUGUAAACCACUUUCAAUUGGGAAGAAGAGAUGAGCGUUAAUAACGCUCUGAUUUGACGGUACCUUUAGAAGAAGCACCGGCUAAUUUCGUGCCAGCAGCCGCGGUAAUACGAAAGGUGCAAGCGUUGUUCGGAUUUACUGGGCGUAAAGAGAUCGUAGGUGGUUUGUUAAGUUGGAUGUGAAAUCCCGGGGCUCAACCUCGGAACUGCAUCCAAAACUGACGGACUUGAGUUUGGGAGGGGUAAGCGGAAUUCCGUGUGUAGCAGUGAAAUGCGUAGAUAUACGGAGGAACACCUGAGGCGAAGGCGGCUUACUGGACCAAUACUGACACUGAGGAUCGAAAGCGUGGGUAGCAAACAGGAUUAGAUACCCUGGUAGUCCACGCCCUAAACGAUGUCAACUAGCCGUUGCGGGUAUCGACCCCUGCAGUGGCGCAGCUAACGCGAUAAGUUGACCGCCUGGGGAGUACGGUCGC